RNAcentral lists this ribosomal RNA (491 nucleotides) under uncultured bacterium. RNAcentral's name for it is "bacterial SSU rRNA". It matches the Rfam family "Bacterial small subunit ribosomal RNA", at positions 29 to 521 of the family's 1533-position model. The record is from RNAcentral.
AUUGAACGCUGGCGGCAUGCCUUACACAUGCAAGUCGAACGGCAGCACGGGGGCAACCCUGGUGGCGAGUGGCGAACGGGUGAGUAAUACAUCGGAAUGUACCCAGUAGUGGGGGAUAACUAGUCGAAAGAUUAGCUAAUACCGCAUACGCACUAUGGUGGAAAGCGGGGGAUCGCAAGACCUCGCGCGAUUGGAGCGGCCGAUGUCAGAUUAGGUAGUUGGUGGGGUAAAGGCUCACCAAGCCGACGAUCUGUAGCUGGUCUGAGAGGACGACCAGCCACACUGGGACUGAGACACGGCCCAGACUCCUACGGGAGGCAGCAGUGGGGAAUUUUGGACAAUGGGCGGAAGCCUGAACCAGCCAUCCCGCGUGCAGGAAGACAGCCCUAUGGGUUGUGAACUGCUUUUCCAGUGGGCGAACCCCUCGUACGUGUACGGGAUUGACGGUACACUGGGAUAAGCAUCGGCAACUCCGUGCCAGCAGCCGCGGU